Molecule: long non-coding RNA, 370 nt
Organism: Populus euphratica (Euphrates poplar)
Lineage: Eukaryota; Viridiplantae; Streptophyta; Magnoliopsida; Malpighiales; Salicaceae
Exons: 2
Source: RefSeq, a predicted model, not a curated record
UUUAAUUAUGUUUUUUCCUUUUUAAUUAAUUAAUUAGUCUAUCUUCUAUUAUAUUUAUUGUAUUUGCUUUUCAAUGCAGAGGUCAGAGACACAGUUGUUGUUUUGAAUGCUCAAAAAUCCAUAUCUAAGGUUUUGAUGGCAACAAUUGGACUACUGGAGUGUUUUAUGAUAAUGUUAUUUGUUGUUUUUGUAAAGCCCUUUGAAGAUAAUAUUUUAUAAUUUAUAUUUUAAUUUAUUGGUAGGUGUUAUUUAAACUUUAUCUGCAGCAGGAGUUCUGCUCACUCAAACAAAACAAAUGAAAAAUUAUUAGGAAGGCAACAAAUGAAUAUUUAGUUGCAAAAAACAACCCAAAAAAAAUUGAUUUGGUUAA